Molecule: long non-coding RNA, 497 nt
Filed under: Capsicum annuum
Lineage: Eukaryota; Viridiplantae; Streptophyta; Magnoliopsida; Solanales; Solanaceae
Description: long non-coding RNA (CANN_LNC018909)
Source: RNAcentral
GCCACGGCUUCUUGCCUCAUUGGUUUCACCUUUAGGAUGGCAUAGUCCUUAGGGAUUUUUCUCCGUUUCCUCUUUGUUAAUAAACUUCUUAACAUAUUAUUCUUCGAAUAAUUCUACUAUAAAGUAACUAAUAUGAAUUUAUUUUAUCAUAUCAUGAUUGUUGGGAAUUAUGAAUUUAGCUAUUCAUAAUCAUAAAUAAAUAUACCUGUUCGGGUAGUUUUAAUAUUUCUGAAGUUUGUUCCUCCAUAGCUUUUUCCAUUGAAAUAUGUUUAUUUGAUUAACUGAGUAAAAUAUUUGUUGUGGAAUAGAGAGAAUAUUUGCUUCAAAGCAUGAAGGCUUGCCUUGCAAUGCCUUCAGCUUCCUUUAUUUAUAGAAUGAAAUCCUCUUUACAAUCUUUACAUGUUUUUUUAUUGCUAAAAGAACUAUAAAAAGUCAAAAAAGGAGGCUAGGCUACUAACUAGCCUUUAAUUUCCUACAAACCUACAAAUCUACAAUUA